ACGGAAGGCAGCAGUGAGGAAUAUUGGUCAAUGGGCGGAAGCCUGAACCAGCCUAGUCGCGUGAAGGAUGAAGGUAUUAUGUAUUGUAAACUUCUUUAGACGUAGAGAAAUAAGGGGAUCGUGAUCCCUGAUGCUAGUAUACGUAGAAUAAGGAUCGGCUAACUCCGUGCCAGCAGCCGCGGUAAUACGGAGGAUCCGAGCGUUAUCCGGAUUUAUUGGGUUUAAAGGGUGCGCAGGCGGCUUUUUAAGUCAGUGGUUAAAUCGUUGAGCUUAACUCCAUCCCGCCAUUGAUACUGGAGAGCUUGAUUGCGGUUGAGGUUGGCGGAAUUCGCCGUGUAGCGGUGAAAUGCAUAGAUAUGGCGAAGAACUCCGAUUGCGUAGGCAGCUGACCAAGCCGUAAAUGACGCUCAUGCACGAAAGUGCGGGGAUCGAACAGGAUUAGAUACCCUGGUA
Molecule: ribosomal RNA, 453 nt
Filed under: uncultured Porphyromonadaceae bacterium
Lineage: Bacteria; Pseudomonadati; Bacteroidota; Bacteroidia; Bacteroidales; Porphyromonadaceae
Description: partial 16S ribosomal RNA
Rfam family: Bacterial small subunit ribosomal RNA
Source: RNAcentral